Molecule: small RNA, 1902 nt
Filed under: Pongo abelii (Sumatran orangutan)
Lineage: Eukaryota; Metazoa; Chordata; Mammalia; Primates; Hominidae
Description: retained intron
Source: RNAcentral
CGCGCGCCUACUACCGGUGGACCCGCGCCCACGACCUGCGCGGCUUCCUCAACUUCACGCUGGCGCGCGCCCCGCCCUCCUUCGCCGCCGCGCACAACCGCACGUGCAGGUAUCGGGCUUUCCGGGAUGAUGAUGGACAUUAUUCCCAGACCUACUGGAAUCUUCUUGCCAUCCGCCUGGCCUUCGUCAUUGUGUUUGAGGUAGCUGAGGCACCUGCUGCUUCUCCCAUCCAUGGCAUGACGCCCCGACCCUGUGCUUUGCCUAAUUCGAGCACGUGGUGAGGGAUUGGUGCCGUCACUUCCUGCUGUGUCAUCUUGGUCAAAUCAGAGCUCUUCUCUGCACCUGCGUUUUCCCUGGCCUCAUCCUUGGGUUGUGGUGUGGACACUGUGGGUGUCUCCACAGGAGCCCCAGGGCCACGAAAGCUGGGGUGGCCUCUGCCCCUUCUGGGGUUCCUUUUCCUGCACAGCUGCUUUCUGGCUCCACCCACAGCUGGGAGCAGGUGCCGGAGCCCCGGCCUGCCUGGCCCUGUGAAGGCCACUCUGGGCAUUUGGGUGGGGGUGAGUGCCUUCCUCUGCUCCCAGCAUGUGGUUUUCUCCGUCGGCCGCCUCCUGGACCUCCUGGUACCUGACAUCCCAGAGUCUGUGGAGAUCAAAGUGAAGCGGGAGUACUACCUGGCUAAGCAGGCGCUGGCCGAGAAUGAGGCUCUUUUUGGAACGAACGGAGCAAAGGAUGAGCAGCCCCAGGGCUCAGAGCUCAGCUCCCACUGGACACCCUUCACGGUUCCCAAGGCCAGCCAGCUGCAGCAGUGACGCCUGGAAGGACAUCUGGUGGUCCUUAGGGGAGUGGCCCCUGCUGAGCCCUUCGAGCAGCAUCCUUUUCGUCUUCCCUCAGGCAGUGGCUGUGUGAACCGCUGGCUGCUGUUGUACCUCAUCUCUGGGCACAUUGCCUGCUUCCCUCCAGCGCUGGCUUCUCUCCUCAGAGCGCCUGUCACUCCAUCCCCGGCAGGGAGGGACCGUCAGCUCACAAGGCCCUCUUUGUUUCCUGCUCCCAGACAUAAGCCCAAGGGGCCCCUGCACCCAAGGGACCCUGUCCCUCGGUGGCCUCCCCAGGCCCCUGGAUGCGACAGUUCUGAUCAGACAGGUGGGCUUUGUGGUCCUUGCCACCCCGGCCACAUCACCCUCUCCUCUUAUACCUGGUGACCUUAGAAUGUUGCAGAGCGCAGGGCUGUUCUCCCUCGUGUCCUCUGGACCCACCCGCCUCUUCCUGCCCUGUCCGCGCAGGGACAUCACCCAUAUGCCCCAGCUCUCGGACCCUGCAGCUCUGUGUCCCAGGCCACAGCAAAAGUCUGUUCAACCCCUCCCUCCAUUCCCAGUUAUCUGGGUCCUCUGGAUUCUUCUGUUUCUUGAAUCAGGCUCUGCUUUCCCCCUAGCCACUACAGGCAGCCUCUGACAGUGUCGCUUUAAUUGCAUUCUGCAGCAAUUACAUGUGUCCUUUUGAUCCUUGCUCAACUUCCCUCCCUCUCCCAGCUCCUGGCCCCUGGCCCAGGGCCCCUCUUGCUGUUUUUACCUCUGUUCCUUGGGGCCUAGUACACAGCAAGCACCCAAAUGGGGGAGAUUUUGGGAUGAGAGGAGGAAACGUGUAUACCUGUAACAUCUGGUGGCUCUUCCCCCAGAAGUUUGUGUUUACACAUAAUUGUUUUCCACGCUGGAUCAUAAUGUGACGUGCAGUUUCGCCCUGUGCUGAGGAGCCACGUGAACCUUCCCCUGGCUAACUGUUGCUACCCCGCAACAUUCCCAGUGUAGCCGUCCACUUGCUAAAAAAUGGAUCUGUGCUCAUCUGUAUUGAUUUCCUUGGAGUUCUACAAGUGGAACUUGAGUGUCAAAAAGAAUACGUGGUUUUUGG